GUAAUGGUUUAAAUGAAAGCUUGUCGGAUUUGUGAUUCAGAACAUUAAUAAUAAACACACCUUACAUCUAUUUUGAUAAGAUUAAACUGCAUUUAAGACCGAUUUUGGGGGUAUUUGUGUGCGUACAGUGUCAGAAAAACACAUUUCAAAUGAUUUUUUUCCGAUUUUCUGAUCGCCUUGAUAUCUGCAAAAGGGACUUUUUAAGAACGUUAAUUAU
This 217-nucleotide long non-coding RNA is filed under the name Mytilus galloprovincialis (Mediterranean mussel). Lineage: Eukaryota; Metazoa; Mollusca; Bivalvia; Mytilida; Mytilidae. The record is from RNAcentral.